GGGAAGGUGGCUCAGUGGUAGAGUGCUUGCCUUGCAUGCAUGAGGCCCUGGGUUCGAUUCCUCACCACUACA
Dipodomys ordii (Ord's kangaroo rat) is the source of this 72-nucleotide non-coding RNA. NCBI's taxonomy places the organism in Eukaryota, Metazoa, Chordata, Mammalia, Rodentia, Heteromyidae. The record is from Rfam.